RNAcentral lists this ribosomal RNA (108 nucleotides) under Olea europaea subsp. europaea. RNAcentral's name for it is "PK-G12rRNA". It matches the Rfam family "Bacterial large subunit ribosomal RNA", at positions 2309 to 2416 of the family's 2925-position model. Lineage: Eukaryota; Viridiplantae; Streptophyta; Magnoliopsida; Lamiales; Oleaceae. The record is from RNAcentral.
UGUAAAGAUUUUCUUGGGCCGGACGGAGAUCGGCAUUCGAGUGCAAAAACAGAAAGGAGCUUGACUGUAAGACCCACUCGUCGAGCAGGGACGAAAGUCGGCCUCAGU